AUGUGGGAUAUAAAAACAUAUCUCUCUGUAGCACCCAUGCUAAGUACUCUAUGGUUUGGUGCUUUAGCAGGUUUAUUGAUAGAAAUUAAUCGUUUAUUCCCAGAUGCUUUGUCAUUCCCUUUUUUAAUUCUAGUUAUUGCUAUGGGAGGGAUAGAUUUCUUCGUAAUAUGA
RNAcentral lists this ribosomal RNA (171 nucleotides) under Triticum aestivum (bread wheat). Its description in RNAcentral is "partial small subunit ribosomal RNA". The record is from RNAcentral. Lineage: Eukaryota; Viridiplantae; Streptophyta; Magnoliopsida; Poales; Poaceae.